AACAGGUUUUGUAUUAGUCACAAUGAAGUUCCUCCACGGAUCCGCUCCGUCGUCUCCUCCUCCGCCGCCGCGUGAUGCAUUAUUCGAUCUCGAUGCGGUGGAGGAGCUCGGAAUAAUCGCGGGAUCCACCGGCGGGGUGAGUUGGUGAGCCGGAGUGGCAUCGGAAACUCCGUUUCUGUUGCCGAUCUCUCGUUUUCUUCCGGUUUCGAUGUCGCCGAAUGCGACGUCUUCUGCAGCAGAUAUAAGUUGCGAAAGAGAGACAUGGGUCUCAGAGAAGGAAGAGUAGAAUCAAUGGCAGACUGAAAGCUAGGUUUACGGCAUGAACACUUUAUCAUGGAAGACUGGAUAAUGAUGCUUCAAUGCUGGAUGAAGCGAUCGAGCUUCUGCUUCGAUUUGCAGGAGUCCUGGAUCCAUUGCCAUUGUGUCGAGCUGGAGGAGCGAGUUGUCUCGGAGGAUAUGGACAAGUGCAUUCCACUCCACAACCCCGCUUUCUGGUCCGACGAAAACUUUACUCAAACUCUGCUUUCGAUUAUCUGACCAAUUUGUCAAACCCUCGAUCUCUGAUCACGGAAACUGCCGUAACAUCGGAGAUGCAAUUCAAAUCAUCGCUACGAUGGAUCAUCUAGGAUCUGAACAUCGUCGGAGGUAAGUACAUAAGGUGGUGACGCUUGGUGAGCAAUCUCCGGGUUUGCGGACGAUUGCGGUUUAGAGUGCGCGAGAUUGGAACAGUUCCAAUCGGUCGUAAUCACAGCAAAACGUUAUUAGUCUUAA
This is a long non-coding RNA of Tarenaya hassleriana, 771 nucleotides long. RefSeq lists it as uncharacterized. The record is from RefSeq and is a predicted model, not a curated record. Lineage: Eukaryota; Viridiplantae; Streptophyta; Magnoliopsida; Brassicales; Cleomaceae. The transcript is spliced from 3 exons.